UCUCAGUUCAGAUUGCAGGCUGCAACUCGCCUGCAUGAAGUCGGAAUUGCUAGUAAUCGUAGGUCAGCAUACUACGGUGAAUACGUUCCCGGGCCUUGUACACACCGCCCGUCAAACCAUGAGAGUUGGCAACACCCGAAGUCGGUAGUCUAACCGCAAGGAGGACGCCGCCGAAGGUGGGGUUGAUGACUGGGGUGAAGUCGUAACAAGGUAUC
RNAcentral lists this ribosomal RNA (215 nucleotides) under uncultured bacterium. Its description in RNAcentral is "partial 16S ribosomal RNA". It matches the Rfam family "Bacterial small subunit ribosomal RNA", at positions 1286 to 1500 of the family's 1533-position model. The record is from RNAcentral.